This 253-nucleotide ribosomal RNA is filed under the name uncultured bacterium. Its description in RNAcentral is "partial 16S ribosomal RNA". It matches the Rfam family "Archaeal small subunit ribosomal RNA", at positions 474 to 727 of the family's 1478-position model. The record is from RNAcentral.
UACCAGCACCCCGAGUGGUCGGGACGUUUAUUGGGCCUAAAGCAUCCGUAGCCGGUGCUACAAGUCUUCCGUUAAAUCCAACUGCUUAACAGGUGGGCUGCGGAAGAUACUAUAGAGCUAGGAGGCGGGAGAGGCAAGCGGUACUCGAUGGGUAGGGGUAAAAUCCGUUGAUCCGUUGAAGACCACCAGUGGCGAAGGCGGCUUGCCAGAACGCGCUCGACGGUGAGGGAUGAAAGCUGGGGGAGCAAACCGG